RNAcentral lists this ribosomal RNA (406 nucleotides) under uncultured bacterium. RNAcentral describes it as "partial 16S ribosomal RNA". It matches the Rfam family "Bacterial small subunit ribosomal RNA", at positions 30 to 526 of the family's 1533-position model. The record is from RNAcentral.
AUUGAACGCUGGCGGCAGGCCUAACUCAUGCAAGUCGAACGAGUGGCGGACGGGUGAGUAAUGUCUGGGAAACUGCCUGAUGGAGGGGGAUAACUACUGGAAACGGUAGCUAAUACCGCAUACCAUCAGAGGUGCCCAGAUGGGAUUGGCUAGUUGGUGGGGUAACCGCUCACCAAGGCGACGAUCCCUAGCUGGUCUGAGAUGGUGACCAGUCACAUGGGAACUGAGACACUGUCCAGACGCCUACGGGAGGCAGCAUUGGGGAAUAUUGCACAAUGGGCGCAAGCCUGAGACAGCCAUGCCGCGUGUAUGAAGAAGGCCUGCGGGUUUUAAAGUACUUUCAGCGGGGAGGCGUUACCCUCAGAAGAAGCACCGGCUAACUCCGUGCGAGCAGCCGCGGUAAUAC